GUUAAUGUGUGCAUACGAAUUAAAUGGCUUCGGGAUAAUCUAUAUUGUCAAACAAACUUUAGUUCCUGUUCAAAUCUCAUUAGUUUUGAUAGAGGAUCACAUAACAUAGUAAUCAUAUAAAAAGAUCAAUUAUUAACAUAAAUGAUACGAUCUUUAAGGCUGAAUUAUUAAAUGGCACCUCUGGCCUUUUUGAAAAUACAAAAUACCAAUUAUUUAUUUUCACAGAAAUUUAA
Molecule: long non-coding RNA, 233 nt
Filed under: Mytilus galloprovincialis (Mediterranean mussel)
Lineage: Eukaryota; Metazoa; Mollusca; Bivalvia; Mytilida; Mytilidae
Source: RNAcentral